AUUAUAUUGGCAGAUUAGUGCAUUAAAUUUAGAAUUUAAUCAAGUAAAUUAUUAGUUUAUAUAUAAUA
Molecule: transfer RNA, 68 nt
Filed under: Dolichovespula xanthicincta
Lineage: Eukaryota; Metazoa; Arthropoda; Insecta; Hymenoptera; Vespidae
Description: tRNA-Leu
Source: RNAcentral